RNAcentral lists this non-coding RNA (24 nucleotides) under Gallus gallus (chicken). Lineage: Eukaryota; Metazoa; Chordata; Aves; Galliformes; Phasianidae. RNAcentral also lists the same sequence under 4 other names. The record is from RNAcentral.
UUUCGUACGUAGCAGAGCAGCUCC